This 468-nucleotide ribosomal RNA is filed under the name uncultured bacterium. RNAcentral describes it as "partial 16S ribosomal RNA". It matches the Rfam family "Bacterial small subunit ribosomal RNA", at positions 28 to 507 of the family's 1533-position model. The record is from RNAcentral.
GACGAACGCUGGCGGCGUGCUUAACACAUGCAAGUCGAACGGAAAGGCCCUGCUUUUGUGGGGUGCUCGAGUGGCGAACGGGUGAGUAACACGUGAGUAACCUGCCCUUGACUUUGGGAUAACUUCAGGAAACUGGGGCUAAUACCGGAUAGGAGCUCCUGCUGCAUGGUGGGGGUUGGAAAGUUUCGGCGGUUGGGGAUGGACUCGCGGCUUAUCAGCUUGUUGGUGGGGCAGUGGCUUACCAAGGCUUUGACGGGUAGCCGGCCUGAGAGGGUGACCGGCCGCAUUGGGACUGGGAUACGGCCCAGACUCCUACGGGAGGCAGCAGUGGGGAAUAUUGCACAAUGGGCGGAAGCCUGAUGCAGCAACGCCGCGUGCGGGAUGACGGCCUUCGGGUUGUAAACCGCUUUCGCCUGUGACGAAGCGUGAGUGACGGUAAUGGGUAAAGAAGCACCGGCUAACUACGUG